RNAcentral lists this long non-coding RNA (783 nucleotides) under Gallus gallus (chicken). RNAcentral's name for it is "lncRNA (ENSGALG00010004979.1)". The record is from RNAcentral. Lineage: Eukaryota; Metazoa; Chordata; Aves; Galliformes; Phasianidae.
UCAUUCCAUGCUUAACGGUUGAAAACACCGUUCUGCUUUGAUUUCCAGAAGCACAUUUCCGGAGGCCAACUUAAUAAACCCCCUUGCAUUUGGUACCUGGGAAAAAUAGCUCAGUCUUAGGGCAGGUGGGAACCUGUCUGCUGGCGUUGUGAUGAUGACUCUUUGCCGUUUACCCAGCUGAUUUCUGUGAUGAGUGGCACAUCAAACUGGGAAGAUCUUUCGUUUCUGAUUUGAUUUAUUCUGUUCUUUCAAAGAUGUUAUCAGAUGACUUUCUCCACUGACUUCAAGCUGUGCACAGCCAACAGCAGACUGUUGAUUUCCAUAAGUAUGGGUGUUUAAGAAGGUUGAGAACAGUGUGAAAUGUGGAUUUCUAAUGCACCUGGAAAUGCUUUCCUGGCCCUUCCUGCUUCCCAGAAGCACUGCUUGAUUCUAAUAUGCUCGGGGUGAAGUCCUGUGACUUCUAAUGCCAUGCUGAAAGGAAGAAGUCAAGUAAGAUGGAGUUAGAGUUUAGAUGAAAAUGUGAAUAAUGCCUGAAUGAAGUUCAAGUGAGAGUGUGGCUGAGAAGUAGCCCUUCAGAUGCUGUUAGAACUCAGUAUGAAUAUUUAAGUUCAUAGUUAAUAUUCAUAUAGUUAAUAUUGCAAACAAAAUUUGAUUACAGGAUUAAAACACAUAGGAAAACUUGUUUUCUUGUCUAAAUUAGUGUUUAUAAUAAUGCUGGAAGCUGUUCUGCUCACUUUCAAUGCAGUAUUUGUAUAAAUAAAAUCUUGGAUUUGUAAUUCCAAU